UACGAAGGGUGCAAGCGCUGUCCGGAAUCACUGGGCGUAAAGGGCGCGUAGGCGGCUCAUGAAGGCUGUGGUGAAAGUCCGGGGCUCAACCUCGGAUCGGCCGUGGCGACUCGUGGGCUGGAGCACUGUAGAGGCAGAUGGAAUUCCCGGUGUAGCGGUGGAAUGCGUAGAGAUCGGGAAGAACAUCGGUGGCGAAGGCGGUCUGCUGGGCCGUUGCUGACGCUGAGGCGCGACAGCGUGGGGAGCAAACAGG
This 253-nucleotide ribosomal RNA is filed under the name uncultured bacterium. RNAcentral's name for it is "partial 16S ribosomal RNA". It matches the Rfam family "Bacterial small subunit ribosomal RNA", at positions 524 to 776 of the family's 1533-position model. The record is from RNAcentral.